CCUGCAGUGCCUAACUUUACCAACUCAUCCAUAGCUAAACGCGCAUGCUCGAUGAUUUCGGUUUUCAUUGGCUCAGCAAAUAUUGAGAACCCAAAAAUAAGGUCACUCGCUCGUUGCAUGUUGAAUCCAGCACUCAAAAUCUCGUCUGUGGAACAACAGUCCCACAAAGUAGCAUUAGCAUCUGCAGACUGUUCAGAAGAAAAUGCCAAGGAUCCACUGCCAAUAUUAUUAUUCUGUGAGAUAUCAUUCUGUGAUGAUAAAUGAAACCAAGAAAAAAAAAGCAUUAGUUUGAUGGCUAAUACAAUUUGCAAAUGAACUCAAUUUAUGAAGUUAUAAUACACAAUAUAUAUAUAGCCAUAAGACUAGGAAUUAUGUUUCAGUGGUAAAUUUACUACUUGUGUUGUGAACCUGCAGUUAGCUUUCUGGGGUAAAAGCUUUUUCUGUUGGGAGGGAUAUUAAGGGCUGAUACGUGACUUAGGAUCUCGAAUAGAAGUAGGCAGCAGUAGAAAGACUGUAUAGUGUAUGGAUUUGUACAUGGGUUUUGGCAUUCCUUGUGCCAUUGAUAAGAUAUUCUAUUUUGCUGAUACAAAUAAAUAAAAAAUAGCCAUAAGACUGAAUUAGAAAUCAAUCUCAUCAAACAACUGCCAUUUCGAUACAGAAGUCAUUGAUUAUGAUAAAAUGAAAACAAACCAAAAAAAAAAUUAUUUGGGUCACAAGUUUGAUAAAUAGGAAUAUAUUGUCCCGAUCAAGGCAAGUCAGUAACAUCUACUACAAUGAGGGGGGAAUGAUGAAGAAGAAUUCCUGAAAACAAAAGGUGUUUAAUUGCGUGACAAAAGAAUAAAGAUUACGGAUUAGUCACCUGCAACUAAAUUUAUUGUUUCUCCUAUAACAACUAAAUCACAUGAUUCUAGGAAUAUGGUAAAUUCAAAUUCUCGAUUAUCCAAGAACAAAUAGAUGACUUGAUUUUAGGAAUUUGGUAAAUUCAUAUUCUUGUUUCUCCUAGAUCACUUGAUUUCAGGAAUUUGGUAACAAAAAAAAUGCUGAAUAGAAGGUGCAAUGUUAUAUGAAUUUCAAAAUUUACGUACCAUGUACAUCACGUCGAGAUCAUCUACUCUAAUCUGACUGUCAUGCACUCCUUCAUUACCCAUGGCCAUAGUCGUAAUCUAAAAUUUCUGUGUUCAGUUAUUUUAAAUCAAUUAUCUAGACAACUCUGUCUGUAACAAAUUCACUAAGAAAAAAUGAAAUGAUCUAUUAAUUGAAACCAUAGAAAAAGGUCUAUCCUUCGUUGUAAAACCCUAUUUGCUGAAAAAUCACGUUAGAAUUCCGAUACUUACGAUCUGAUAUGUGACGAGAGAAAAACGAAGGCAACUAAGCAAUACUCCGAUUCAGAUUCAGAAGCAUGGAGUGCUUGAAGAGUGACGAACUUGAUUGUGAUGGUUAAUUACGUAGAUGGAAAUAUGACGUUGAUAUGGUGAUAGCGUUUCAUUGAAG
This 1491-nucleotide long non-coding RNA is filed under the name Glycine max (soybean). Its description in RNAcentral is "long non-coding RNA (GMAX_LNC002732)". The record is from RNAcentral. Lineage: Eukaryota; Viridiplantae; Streptophyta; Magnoliopsida; Fabales; Fabaceae.